RNAcentral lists this transfer RNA (61 nucleotides) under Acidimicrobiaceae bacterium. Its description in RNAcentral is "tRNA-Val". It matches the Rfam family "tRNA", at positions 7 to 64 of the family's 71-position model. From Rfam's summary of the family: Transfer RNA (tRNA) molecules are approximately 80 nucleotides in length. Their secondary structure includes four short double-helical elements and three loops (D, anti-codon, and T loops). Lineage: Bacteria; Bacillati; Actinomycetota; Acidimicrobiia; Acidimicrobiales; Acidimicrobiaceae. The record is from RNAcentral.
UUGGCUCAGUUGGUUAGAGCGCUGCCUUCACACGGCAGAGGUCACUGGUUCGAAUCCGGUA